This is a long non-coding RNA of Gigantopelta aegis, 3640 nucleotides long. RefSeq lists it as uncharacterized. Lineage: Eukaryota; Metazoa; Mollusca; Gastropoda; Neomphalida; Peltospiridae. The record is from RefSeq and is a predicted model, not a curated record. The transcript has 2 exons.
CUGCUAAUGGAUAAAUGUGGCGGGUUUCCUCUUGUGACCGAAAUGUUUGACAUCCUAUAGCCGAUGAUUAAUCAUUCAGUGUGCUCUAGUGGUGACCUUAAACAAAACAAACUUUAACCCUGUUGAUGUAUUGAGACAUGCAAUGGCGUAACGUCAUCUGGAAUUCCCCAGAUUUAUUUUAUUUUUCCCAUGACACUGAUAUUUAUUUUACAGGUCUGGGUUUGCCUCGGCGUUUUUUCCUCUCUGGCUACGCCCCAGACAUGGCAUUUUAUUUAGUUAUGUUUUAACAAAUCAAAACGACUGCUACCUUUAAUAUGAAUUUCAUGCCUGAUCAGCACCAAUCUUUAUCAAAUAUAAUAUACACUUAAUUUUUAUAAUAUUUUUUUUUUACUCUAAAUGUUAUCAGUAUGAUAUCAUUACCAUACCAUAUAAAUAGAUAAAUCAUCUUCCACUAAGGGGAUUUGAACCAGCAACUCUGUAUUAGAGCCCAUUGCUCUAUAGCAACUGAUAUAAGGAAAUUCUCACUAGCUACUGCCAGUAGAAAACAUUUAUACCAACAAACUCCACCACCACCAUUUCCUCUGGUUACCUCUGAUGACUCAGAAUUACCAAAUGUUUGACAUCCAAUAGCUGAUGAAUAAAUAAUCAAUGUGCUUAGUGGUGUUGUUAAACAAAACAAAUUUUGGUUAAAUAUUUACAUAUGCAUGGGGUUUUUUUUGGCUGUUUUGUUCAGUGCAAGCAUGGAAUACGAAAACAAACUCAUACAAAAAUUGAUUAUUGGUUAUCAAUAGCAUUGUUUCCAUAUGCACAGCACAGUUUUUUUCGUAACUGUCUUUUCGACAUAAACAACCACACACUUGCAACAUGGUCAUAACACAGAGUGUCAUGUUCAAAUUCCCUUACUGGAGGUUGAUUUAUCUGUUGUACUGCAAUAAUUUAUUGUGUGAUUUAAGAUGACGUUUGUGUAUGUCUGUAUGUAAUCACUAAGAUGAGUAGUAAUUCUUCGUCUUGUAGAAAGUGAUGUUCAGUAAUUGAUUUUAGUUGAAAACUGAUAGGCUGCUGCUAGUGAUUUAAUCAUGGAUUAUGCAGUGCAUAUGGUUUGUUGCAAGCUGUUGUUCUCGUUAGUGUGUGCUUGCAUAAAAUGAUUUCAGCAUGGGCAAAAACCUGCUCGCCUCAUCACAUGCUGAUGUCGCUAAUUAGUCCCCUACCGGUCCAUCCGGAGGGGACUAUAGGUUUUAGUCCCCUACCAGUCCAACUGGAGGGGACUACAGGUUUCAUCUCUGUCCUUCUGUCUGUCUGUCUUUCUAUUUUGUCUGUCGGUCUGUCCCACUGAAAUGUUGUAUAUAGCUUUAUCAUGUACUGUUACAGAUGAAGUUUAACUUUUGUGGCGGUUUACCAAUUUUUGACACAGUUAUGGCCCUUGAACUUAAGAGAUAUGAACAUUUGUUUUCCCAGACUUUUGUUUUGCAAUAUCUGAAAAUAUUGAGGUGAAACUUUGUAUGUAGCUUUUAUCAUGUACUAUUACAGAUGAAAUUUAACUUUCGUGGUGAUUUACCCACUUUACACAGAGGUUUGGCCCUUGAAUUUAGGAGAUACGAAAAAUUAUUGGGUCAGGUAGGGGACGUGUAUUCCUUUAACAGUACUCUUAAAAUGCUUGUUUGCUUUACUCAAAGUUACUGUGAGUUUGACAUUGAGAGUAAGUUACUGCUCUCUUACAUAAUUUCAGGAGAGGAGUUUAUUAAGCGAUUUUCAAACCGUAAGCACUGAUUAUGAAAUCUGUAAUAAUUUUUUUUUAUGGAAAAUGAUAACUACAGGGCUGAAAAUAGCAGCUGGCAAAAAAUAAAAAGAAGUCCAUUUUUAGACGUAGUAGGUGAAGGUAGAAAUACAUGAGCUAGAGCCACCCAAAAUAUUGCACGUCAUGCUGUAAAGAGACAGAUGUAUGUUCCAUUUUCUCAUCUGGAUCCAGUUUUCAAAACAUUUUAAGUUUAUGUUUACAAAAACCCCACUUUUGUACUAUUGAAAAAUGCAAACAGUUACAGUCUGCAAAACUGGGGGUUGCUAAUAUACACAUUUAAAAAAAAAAAAAUUAAAAAAAAAAAAAAAGGAUAAUUUUUUUUUUUUAUCCAGCGGUAUUUUUUUUUUACUAUCUGUAAAGUCCCUGACCUACUGCAUCAGUUGCUGUCGGUGUUACCGUUAAGUUCAAGUCCUGUAUAAGUAUUGAUAUGUGUUGAGAUAGUCAUGCGGGUUUUGAGAGACUCCAUCAGUUGGUUCUGUUUCUUGUACAAAAGAGACUGGGAUGGGUUUUUUUUUUUUUUUUUUUUUUUUUUUUUUUUUUUUUUUUUUUUUUUUUUUUCAAAUUUAUGUGUGAUAGUCUGUUAAUGAAAGAUGGACUUGUUACUUGUUAUUAUUAUAUAGUCAACAAAAUAAAUUAAGGGUCAGUAGCCUUUUUUGCAGAUUACAUUCACUUUCAUGUAGGUGAAUUGUGUCUAAUCCUAAUCGGACCUCGCUGUGAAAAUGUUUUAGAGGUGAGUGAUUAAUAGCUCCCCUAACUUAUAUAGAGUAGAGGGAACCAUUAAGAUAUUACCGGUACCAUAUUGAGCAUUGCUAUUUAAUCCUUUUGUAGUACAUGUACUAUUUAUUUUCAUAUUUGUAAUUCAUUUGCUAAAAGACAGCUAAAAUUUACUCUUCGUGAACUAGUCUCAGGGGAGUGAUGUGGAGCGAGAGUUAUAGCUCCCCUGUAAUGGUGAUGUCUACCUUUUCACUGUUGAAUUCAGGUUUUGUCAUGGGGGAGCAAUGAGGAGCUGGAGUUAUAGCUCCCCUGUAAUGGUGAUGUCUGCCUUUUCACUGUUGAAUUCAGGUUUUGUCAUGGGGGAGCAAUGAGGAGCUGGAGUUAUAGCUCCCCUGUAAUGGUGAUGUCUGCCUUUUCACUGUUGAAUUCAGGUUUUGUCUUGGGGUAACCGGGAGUUAUGGUGAUGUCUGCCUUUUCAGUGUGGAAUUCAGGUUUUGUCUUGGGGGGGGGGGGGGGGGGGGGGCGGGAGUUAUGGCUUCCCUUUAAUGAAUGGUGAUGUCUUGCUUUUCACUGUUGAAUUCAGGUUUUGCUUGAAUUGUUCAAGAUGGCCGACAACAUGUUUCACGAAAUGAAUGCUCCAAAGACUUUUUUUGUGGUGGAACGUGAUCAUUCUAGAUGAGGUUCCAUUAUGUCAAAAAUGUUUAUUUUUCAAGAUGGCCGACAUGUUUCACAAAAUGAAUGCUCCAAAGACUUGUUUUGUGGUGGAACCUGAUCAUUCUAGAGGAGGUUCCAUUAUGCCCAAAAUGUCUGCUGGUCCUUAUAUUUUACUUUGUUGAGUAUACUGGUUUUGUUAUAGAUCUGAAUAAACUGAGAUACAGUCUAGUUUGUUUUAUUAUCUUUGUGUACAAUAUUGUAAAAUUUAAUGUUGUGUUUUUUAAGUUAUUUACUAAGGCUGUGAAACAGUAAACCACCAUUGUAAUAACUAAUAUAUAUGUUAUUAAAUAUGGUGACCUCAUAUCAGUUCUAGAGAAAGAGAAGAAAUCUGAUAUGAGAUUAUGUAUGCAUAUAGAAUUUUUUUUUUUUUUUUUAAACUUGUGUCUGUGAUUUAAAAUAAUAAAUUGUUGUAUGAUG